Molecule: microRNA, 21 nt
Filed under: Homo sapiens (human)
Lineage: Eukaryota; Metazoa; Chordata; Mammalia; Primates; Hominidae
Description: hsa-miR-2117
Source: miRBase by way of RNAcentral
UGUUCUCUUUGCCAAGGACAG